This 164-nucleotide small nuclear RNA is filed under the name Sorex araneus (European shrew). RNAcentral's name for it is "U1 spliceosomal RNA (ENSSARG00000015928.1)". It matches the Rfam family "U1 spliceosomal RNA". Rfam says of the family: U1 is a small nuclear RNA (snRNA) component of the spliceosome (involved in pre-mRNA splicing). Its 5' end forms complementary base pairs with the 5' splice junction, thus defining the 5' donor site of an intron. The record is from RNAcentral. Lineage: Eukaryota; Metazoa; Chordata; Mammalia; Eulipotyphla; Soricidae.
AUACUUACCUGGCAGGGGAGAUAUCAUGAUCAUGAGGGUGGUUUUCCCAGGAUGAGGCUUAUCCAUUGCACUCCAGAUAUGCAGACCCUUGCAAUUUCCCCAAAGGUGGGAAACUCAACUGCAUAAUUUGUGGUAGUGGAGGACUGUCUUCAUGCUCUCCUCUG